GACGAACGCUGGCGGCGUGCUUAACACAUGCAAGUCGAACGGAAAGGCCCUGCUUGCAGGGUACUCGAGUGGCGAACGGGUGAGUAACACGUGGGUGAUCUGCCCUGCACUUCGGGAUAAGCUUGGGAAACUGGGUCUAAUACCGGAUAGGAGCCAUCUUUAGUGUGGUGGUUGGAAAGUUUUUUCGGUGUAGGAUGAGCUCGCGGCCUAUCAGCUUGUUGGUGGGGUAAUGGCCUACCAAGGCGGCGACGGGUAGCCGGCCUGAGAGGGUGUACGGCCACAUUGGGACUGAGAUACGGCCCAGACUCCUACGGGAGGCAGCAGUGGGGAAUAUUGCACAAUGGGAGCAAGCCUGAUGCAGCGACGCCGCGUGGGGGAUGAAGGCCUUCGGGUUGUAAACUCCUUUCGCUAGGGACGAAGCUUUGUUGUGACGGUACCUAGAUAAGAAGCACCGGCUAACUACGUG
Molecule: ribosomal RNA, 466 nt
Filed under: uncultured bacterium
Lineage: Bacteria
Description: partial 16S ribosomal RNA
Rfam family: Bacterial small subunit ribosomal RNA
Source: RNAcentral